This 82-nucleotide transfer RNA is filed under the name Leptonema illini. RNAcentral describes it as "tRNA-Leu". It matches the Rfam family "tRNA". Rfam says of the family: Transfer RNA (tRNA) molecules are approximately 80 nucleotides in length. Lineage: Bacteria; Pseudomonadati; Spirochaetota; Leptospiria; Leptospirales; Leptospiraceae. RNAcentral also lists the same sequence under 2 other names. The record is from RNAcentral.
GCCCGGGUGAUGGAAUGGUAGACAUACGGGACUUAAAAUCCCGGGGCGAUUCGCCGUGCGGGUUCAAGCCCCGCCCCGGGUA